CUCUGGCCUUUGUUAGUCUUGUAUGAUUUUUAAUUCUAGUUUCUUGUGUAUAAUUCGGGGUUUAGUAUGACGUCCAUUAUCACUGUACUAGUAUACAUAUUUUUUUCAGGGGCCAGCUGAAGGACGCCUCCGGGUGCGGCAGUUUCUCGCUACAUUGAAGACCCAUUGAUGGCCUUCGGCUGUUGUCUGCUCUAUGGUCGGG
Molecule: long non-coding RNA, 202 nt
Filed under: Mytilus galloprovincialis (Mediterranean mussel)
Lineage: Eukaryota; Metazoa; Mollusca; Bivalvia; Mytilida; Mytilidae
Source: RNAcentral